CCUACGGGUGGCAGCAGUGAGGAAUAUUGGUCAAUGGGCGGAAGCCUGAACCAGCCAAGUAGCGUGCGGGAUGAAGGCCCUACGGGUCGUAAACCGCUUUUGCACGGGGAUAACACCCUCUACUUGUGGAGGUCUGCAGGUACCGUGCGAAUAAGGGCCGGCUAAUUCCGUGCCAGCAGCCGCGGUAAUCCGGAGGUCCUGAGCGUUAUCCGGAUUUAUUGGGCUUAAAGGGAGCGUAGGGGGGCAUUCAAGUCAGCUGUAAAAUCUCGCGGCUCAACCGCGCCCCGCAGUUGAAACUGGGCGCCUAGAGUUCACAAGAGGUAGGCGGAAUUCGUGGUGUAGCGGUGAAAUGCAUAGAUAUCACGAGGAACCCCGGUGGCGAAGGCAGCCUGCGGGGGUGAGACUGACGCUGAGGCUCGAAGGUGUGGGGAUCAAACAGGAUUAGAUACCCCAGUAGUC
RNAcentral lists this ribosomal RNA (459 nucleotides) under uncultured bacterium. RNAcentral's name for it is "partial 16S ribosomal RNA". It matches the Rfam family "Bacterial small subunit ribosomal RNA", at positions 338 to 795 of the family's 1533-position model. The record is from RNAcentral.